AUGGAGCCGACCUUGAAAUACCACCCUUUAAUGUUUGAUGUUCUAACGUUGACCCGUAAUCCGGGUUGCGGACAGUGUCUGGUGGGUAGUUUGACUGGGGCGGUCUCCUCCUAAAGAGUAACGGAGGAGCACGAAGGUUGGCUAAUCCUGGUCGGACAUCAGGAGGUUAGUGCAAUGGCAUAAGCCAGCUUGACUGCGAGCGUGACGGCGCGAGCAGGUGCGAAAGCAGGUCAUAGUGAUCCGGUGGUUCUGAAUGGAAGGGCCAUCGCUCAACGGAUAAAAGGUACUCCGGGGAUAACAGGCUGAUACCGCCCAAGAGUUCAUAUCGACGGCGGUGUUUGGCACCUCGAUGUCGGCUCAUCACAUCCUGGGGCUGAAGUAGGUCCCAAGGGUAUGGCUGUUCGCCAUUUAAAGUGGUACGCGAGCUGGGUUUAGAACGUCGUGAGACAGUUCGGUCCCUAUCUGCCGUGGGCGCUGGAGAACUGAGGGGGGCUGCUCCUAGUACGAGAGGACCGGAGUGGACGCAUCACUGGUGUUCGGGUUGUCAUGCCAAUGGCACUGCCCGGUAGCUAAAUGCGGAAGAGAUAAGUGCUGAAAGCAUCUAAGCACGAAACUUGCCCCGAGAUGAGUUCUC
This 634-nucleotide ribosomal RNA is filed under the name Escherichia coli. RNAcentral describes it as "partial 23S ribosomal RNA". It matches the Rfam family "Bacterial large subunit ribosomal RNA", at positions 2180 to 2813 of the family's 2925-position model. Lineage: Bacteria; Pseudomonadati; Pseudomonadota; Gammaproteobacteria; Enterobacterales; Enterobacteriaceae. The record is from RNAcentral.